GAUGAAGAACGUAGCAAAAUGCGAUAAGUAAUGUGAAUUGCAGAAUUCAGUGAAUCAUCGAAUCUUUGAACGCACAUUGCGCCCGCUGGUAUUCCGGCGGGCAUGCCUGUUCGAGCGUCAUUUCAACCCUCAAGCCCCCGGGUUUGGUGUUGGGGAUCGGCUCUGCCCUUCUGGGCGGUGCCGCCCCCGAAAUACAUUGGCGGUCUCGCUGCAGCCUCCAUUGCGUAGUAGCUAACACCUCGCAACUGGAACGCGGCGCGGCCAUGCCGUAAAACCCCAACUUCUGAAUGUUGACCUCGGAUCAGGUAGGGAUACCCGCUGAACUUAAGCAUAUCAAUAAGCGGAGGA
This 348-nucleotide unclassified non-coding RNA is filed under the name soil metagenome. RNAcentral describes it as "partial contains 5.8S ribosomal RNA, internal transcribed spacer 2, and large subunit ribosomal RNA". The stretch from base 1 to 120 matches the Rfam family "5.8S ribosomal RNA", at positions 35 to 154 of the family's 154-position model. The record is from RNAcentral.